Molecule: unclassified non-coding RNA, 244 nt
Filed under: Ascomycota sp.
Lineage: Eukaryota; Fungi; Ascomycota
Description: partial contains small subunit ribosomal RNA, internal transcribed spacer 1, and 5.8S ribosomal RNA
Rfam family: Eukaryotic small subunit ribosomal RNA (bases 1-47)
Source: RNAcentral
AAAGUCGUAACAAGGUUUCCGUAGGUGAACCUGCGGAAGGAUCAUUAGAGAGAAUCAAGCUCCUAUGAGCAACUCUCCACCCUAUGUUUACAUUACUUUGUUGCUUUGGCAGGCCGUAGGAUGUUAGUCUUCCACUGGCUUCUGCUGGUGAGUGCCUGUCAGAGAAAAUUUAUACUCUAUUUAUUAGUGUUGUCUGAGUAUCAUAUAAUUAUUAAAACUUUCAACAAUGGAUCUCUUGGUUCUG